This 410-nucleotide ribosomal RNA is filed under the name uncultured bacterium. RNAcentral's name for it is "bacterial SSU rRNA". It matches the Rfam family "Bacterial small subunit ribosomal RNA", at positions 370 to 772 of the family's 1533-position model. The record is from RNAcentral.
AAUGGGGGCAACCCUGAUCCAGCCAUGCCGCGUGAGUGAAGAAGGCCUUCGGGUUGUAAAGCUCUUUCGGCCGGGAAGAAAUCGCAUGGGUGAAUACCCUGUGUGGAUGACGGUACCGGAACAAGAAGCACCGGCUAACUACGUGCCAACAGCCGCGGUAAUACGUAGGGUGCGAGCGUUAAUCGGAAUUACUGGGCGUAAAGCGUGCGCAGGCGGUUUGGGAAGACAGGCGUGAAAGCCCCGGGCUUAACCUGGGAACUGCGCUUGUGACUGCCAGGCUAGAGUACGGAAGAGGGGGGUGGAAUUCCACGUGUAGCAGUGAAAUGCGUAGAGAUAUGGAAGAACAUCGAUGGCGAAGGCAGCCCCCUGGGUUAACACUGACGCUCAUGCACGAAAGCGUGGGGAGCAAA